GUCUGUAUGGGGGUUUAUAGAGUCUGGCCUGCCCAUUGGGUUACUAAAAGGCCGCGGUAUAGUGACCGUGCGAAGGUAGCAUAAUCAUUAGUCUUUUAAUUGAAGGCUUGUAUGAACGGUUGGACGAGAAGUAAUCUGUCUCUAUUGAAAAAAUUGAAUUUAACUUUUGAGUGAGAAGGCUUAAAUAAUCUAGAGGGACGAUAAGACCCUAUAAAGUUUAACAUUAUAAUAACUAAAAGUUGAUUGGGUUAGAAAACUUAUUAUUAUAAAUAAUGUUUUGUUGGGGCGACAAGAAUAUAAAUAAUUUAACUGUUCUUUUUUGUAUCAAAAAUAUUUGAUUUAAUGAUCUUUUUAAGAGUAUUAGAGUAAAUUACUUUAGGGAUAACAGCGUAAUUUUUUUUGAGAGUUCCUAUCGACAAAAGAGUUUGCGACCUCGAUGUUGAAUUAAAGGUUCUUUAUAGUGCAGACGCUAUAUGAGAAGGUCUGUUCGACCUUUAAAUCUUU
Molecule: ribosomal RNA, 504 nt
Filed under: Euastacus spinifer
Lineage: Eukaryota; Metazoa; Arthropoda; Malacostraca; Decapoda; Parastacidae
Also listed under: 1 other name
Description: partial 16S ribosomal RNA
Rfam family: Archaeal large subunit ribosomal RNA
Source: RNAcentral